Molecule: ribosomal RNA, 465 nt
Filed under: Vreelandella stevensii
Lineage: Bacteria; Pseudomonadati; Pseudomonadota; Gammaproteobacteria; Oceanospirillales; Halomonadaceae
Description: partial 16S ribosomal RNA
Rfam family: Bacterial small subunit ribosomal RNA
Source: RNAcentral
CCUACGGGGUGCUGCAGUGGGGAAUAUUGGACAAUGGGCGAAAGCCUGAUCCAGCCAUGCCGCGUGUGUGAAGAAGGCCUUCGGGUUGUAAAGCACUUUCAGUGGGGAAGAAAGCCUUGGGGCUAAUACCCUCGAGGAAGGACAUCACCCACAGAAGAAGCACCGGCUAACUCCGUGCCAGCAGCCGCGGUAAUACGGAGGGUGCGAGCGUUAAUCGGAAUUACUGGGCGUAAAGCGCGCGUAGGCGGUCUGAUAAGCCGGUUGUGAAAGCCCCGGGCUCAACCUGGGAACGGCAUCCGGAACGGUCAGGCUAGAGUGCAGGAGAGGAAGGUAGAAUUCCCGGUGUAGCGGUGAAAUGCGUAGAGAUCGGGAGGAAUACCAGUGGCGAAGGCGGCCUUCUGGACUGACACUGACGCUGAGGUGCGAAAGCGUGGGUAGCAAACAGGAUUAGAUACCCCAGUAGUC